Molecule: long non-coding RNA, 939 nt
Organism: Salvia miltiorrhiza (redroot sage)
Lineage: Eukaryota; Viridiplantae; Streptophyta; Magnoliopsida; Lamiales; Lamiaceae
Exons: 2
Source: RefSeq, a predicted model, not a curated record
UCUUAAACCAGUAACUUUUCCGCUACAUCGAUCGUUUACUCUCUCCAUGAAUCAAUAUCUUCAUAAGGAACAAACUGAACCCAAAUCCUUCAGAUAUACUACCAUUUAUCCACAGUUAAUCAACUUACUAAUUAAACCAGGAAUUAGAACUUGAAUCAUAAAUAGAUUGUGAAAUUGAUCAUGAAUAGCAACUACACGAUGAACUAAUUUCCCCAAUUAAGGCCGCGUAAUCCCCCAACAAACACAAUACGUUAGUUGAGCGAACUAAUCAAUCCAAAGCAGAGGAAAAUCAAUUAAGGUCGCGUAAUCCCCCUUCACGAGCCCCCGCCGCCGUUCGCCACGCCGCAGAUGCUCUCCGAUUGGCUGCGGCCGCGCCUCGCUGCCGACCUCUUCGGAUCGUGGGGCGUCAAGCCGGGCACAAAAAAUGUCCACAAUCUGUGGCUGGAGAUCGCCGACGGCGAGACCUCUCUCGCCGAUUCUGUCCCUCCUGUUCACACGGUCGAGGCACCGCGGCCGCCCGCUGUCGGAGAAGAUGAAGCCCGGUGAAUCGGUCAAGGCGGCGGUUUACCGCGCCGUGAAAGAGGAAUUAAGAUUUCCACAGCGAAUCAGAGCUAGCCACGAAUUCGGCGAUCGUCAGCGGCAACCCCCUCUUCGGACGGCGGAGCUUCAUCAUUCCGAGAUAUGGCUCUGAAGCGACGAAGAAGAUGAACCUUACGUGACGGUGGCAGUGCGCGACGGCGAUUUGCAGCCGGAGUGGCGGCGCGAUGGGACGACGACGACGAAGAUGGUGGGGGGGGAGAGAGAGAGAGAGAGAGUCGAAAUUGUGAGAGCUGAAGCUUUGAGAGAGAGAGGAAAGUGGCCAUUUUUAAAAAUUUUAAUGUAAGGGCUAAUUUUGUACUUUUACACAAAAACUGGCUAAAUUUUAAUGUUUUUAUUUCA